This 612-nucleotide ribosomal RNA is filed under the name Triticum aestivum (bread wheat). Its description in RNAcentral is "partial small subunit ribosomal RNA". The record is from RNAcentral. Lineage: Eukaryota; Viridiplantae; Streptophyta; Magnoliopsida; Poales; Poaceae.
AUGCACGACCCACGUCUUCCGCAUAUGAAUCAUGUCAAACGUAUUAUGCGUUACCUCAAAGGCACUCUUGAUCAUGGCCUCUCCUUCACCCCUUCCUCUCCAACUACUCUCACAGCGUACUCAGAUGCAGAUUGGGCAGGAUGCCCGGACACUUGUCGGUCCACUUCGGGUUACUGUGUGUACCUGGGUGAUAAUAUGAUUUCAUGGUCUUCGAAGCGGCAGGCUGCCGUUUCCAGGUCGUCCGUGGAGGCCGAAUAUCGCUCAGUUGCUCAUGCUGUCGCAGAGAUGGUGUGGUUGCGCCAACUCCUAAGUGAGCUUCAUCGUCCUCUUCAUCAGGCCACUAUUGUGUAUUGUGACAACAUCUCUGCCGUCUACAUGUCCUGCAACCCCGUUCAGCAUCGACGAACCAAGCACAUCGAGAUCGACAUAAACUUCGUUCGCGAGAAGCUGGCUUUGGGCGACGUUCGAGUUCUUCACGUCCCUACAAGUGCCCAGUUUGCUGACAUCUUCACCAAAGGCCUGCCGGCGACGCCAUUCUUCGAUAUUCGUGCCAGUCUCAACGUCGUCGAGCCCGCCGCUGACACUGCGGGGGGGGGGGGUGUUAGUCAGUAG